Molecule: ribosomal RNA, 165 nt
Filed under: uncultured bacterium
Lineage: Bacteria
Description: partial 16S ribosomal RNA
Rfam family: Bacterial small subunit ribosomal RNA
Source: RNAcentral
GUAAUCGCGAAUCAGCAUGUCGCGGUGAAUACGUUCCCGGGCCUUGUACACACCGCCCGUCACACCAUGAGAGUUGGCAAUACCCAACGUACGUGAUCUAACCCGCAAGGGAGGAAGCGUCCUAAGGUAGGGUCAGCGAUUGGGGUGAAGUCGUAACAAGGUACC